Molecule: ribosomal RNA, 253 nt
Filed under: uncultured bacterium
Lineage: Bacteria
Description: partial 16S ribosomal RNA
Rfam family: Bacterial small subunit ribosomal RNA
Source: RNAcentral
UACGGAGGGUGCAAGCGUUAUCCGGAUUCACUGGGUUUAAAGGGUGUGUAGGCGGGUUAUUAAGUCAGUGGUGAAAUCUCCGGGCUCAACCCGGAAACUGCCAUUGAUACUAUUAGCCUUGAAUUCUGUUGAGGUGGGCGGAAUAUGUCAUGUAGCGGUGAAAUGCAUAGAUAUGACAUAGAGCACCAAUUGCGAAGGCAGCUCACUAAACAGCGAUUGACGCUGAGGCACGAAAGCGUGGGGAUCAAACAGG